Molecule: small nucleolar RNA, 138 nt
Organism: Ornithorhynchus anatinus (platypus)
Lineage: Eukaryota; Metazoa; Chordata; Mammalia; Monotremata; Ornithorhynchidae
Source: RefSeq, a predicted model, not a curated record
GCCCUCUCAGAGUCGCACCUGGAGAGUUUCCAGUCUUCUACCAGUCUUGGCUACGGGAGGGAGAGUCGAGCAGAGGUCUACCCAUUCCACUCUUAGCUUGGCCAGUGGCUAGCGAAUGGAAGGCAACCUGCUACAAGU